This 492-nucleotide ribosomal RNA is filed under the name uncultured bacterium. RNAcentral's name for it is "partial 16S ribosomal RNA". It matches the Rfam family "Bacterial small subunit ribosomal RNA", at positions 29 to 507 of the family's 1533-position model. The record is from RNAcentral.
AGUGAACGCUGGCGGUAGGCCUAACACAUGCAAGUCGAACGGCAGCACAGUAAGAGCUUGCUCUUACGGGUGGCGAGUGGCGGACGGGUGAGGAAUACAUCGGAAUCUACUUUUUCGUGGGGGAUAACGUAGGGAAACUUACGCUAAUACCGCAUACGACCUACGGGUGAAAGCAGGGGAUCUUCUGACCUUGCGCGAUUGAAUGAGCCGAUGUCGGAUUAGCUAGUUGGCGGGGUAAAGGCCCACCAAGGCGACGAUCCGUAGCUGGUCUGAGAGGAUGAUCAGCCACACUGGAACUGAGACACGGUCCAGACGCCUACGGGAGGCAGCAGUGGGGAAUAUUGGACAAUGGGCGCAAGCCUGAUCCAGCCAUACCGCGUGGGUGAAGAAGGCCUUCGGGUUGUAAAGCCCUUUUGUUGGGAAAGAAAAGCAGCAGGUUAAUACCCCGCUGUUCUGACGGUACCCAAAGAAUAAGCACCGGCUAACUUCGUG